This 497-nucleotide ribosomal RNA is filed under the name uncultured bacterium. RNAcentral describes it as "partial 16S ribosomal RNA". It matches the Rfam family "Bacterial small subunit ribosomal RNA", at positions 28 to 507 of the family's 1533-position model. The record is from RNAcentral.
GAUGAACGCUGGCGGCGUGCCUAAUACAUGCAAGUCGAGCGAACAGACGAGGAGCUUGCUCCUCUGACGUUAGCGGCGGACGGGUGAGUAACACGUAGAUAACCUACCUAUAUGACUUGGAUAACUUCGGGAAACCGGAGCUAAUAACGGAUAAUAUAUUGAACCGCAUGGUUCUAUAGUGAAAUACGGUUUUGCUGUGACUUAUAGAUGGAUCCGCGCCGCAUUAGAUAGUUGGUAAGGUAACGGGUUACCAAGGCAACGAUGCGUAGCCGACAUGAGCGGGUGGUCGGCCACACUGGAAGUGAACCGGGGACCAGACUACUACGGGAGGCAGCAGUAGGGAACGUUCCGCAAUGGGCGAAAGCCUUACGGAGCAACGGCGAGUCAGUGAUGACGGUCUUCGGAGCGGGAAGCUCUGUUAUUAGGGAAGAACAAAUGUCUAAGUGAAUAUACACGUCUUGACGGUACCUAAACAGAAAGCCACGGCUAACUACGUG